GAUUGCAUCUGUUUUAAUAGAUUGUACAUCUGAACCCCCUGACUGAAGAGAAACAUGCCAGUUUCUACGAUGUCUUCCCUAUAAGGGCUCAUAUAUUGCUUGGCCUUGAGGCCACAGUUGUGCUUAAGAAUCCUUCUCUAACCAUUAAUUGCUAAUGGCAAAGGCAGAGAAUGUAAGAACUACAGUCAUUAGAUUCCGUUAAUGGCUUCAUUUUGGGGCACAUGUAUUCAGUGACUGGUGGCUUGUUCCUCGGAAGUGAUGCAACUUGAGUAGAGCUAAUUUUAUUGUUUGGAGAGCGUCUAAAAUGAGUUGGGGCAUUUCUAUUGUAAACCAUGUGUUUAUGUAUUGCACAAUUGUUUUGUAAGUUAUGCGUUGAUUGUUACCAAUAAAGAAAUGCUUACUUGUAGUUUUUUUUUCUGUUCUUAACAUUGAGUCAUGGAUCAUGAGCCAUGUUA
This 455-nucleotide long non-coding RNA is filed under the name Sinocyclocheilus anshuiensis. RNAcentral describes it as "lncRNA (ENSSANG00000023145.1)". Lineage: Eukaryota; Metazoa; Chordata; Actinopteri; Cypriniformes; Cyprinidae. The record is from RNAcentral.